RNAcentral lists this ribosomal RNA (816 nucleotides) under Pirena vivipara. RNAcentral's name for it is "partial 16S ribosomal RNA". It matches the Rfam family "Bacterial large subunit ribosomal RNA", at positions 1508 to 2564 of the family's 2925-position model. The record is from RNAcentral. Lineage: Eukaryota; Metazoa; Mollusca; Gastropoda; Pachychilidae.
AGCUCAUUUUACAUUUUACCUCACUAAGGAUAAGCUUAGUGAGGCUGUUAAAUAGGAAGUAUUUUGUCUAAAUUAGUUACGUAAGCUUGAAAUUAGCUAUCGACCUAGAACUUGUUAUUAAAUAGUUUUAAUAUUUAGAAAAAUAACUAUACUUAAUUCUACUUAAAACGGGGAUAAGCACGAAAAACUAUUGAUCUGGUCUAUUUAUGCUAGAAUGAGUAUUAGAUAUACCCAAUUUAACAGGUUAGAUUAAAUCAAGUGUACCUGCACCAAUAAAUAUAAAUUUUUUUGGAAAAUAAAAAUAAGGAACUCGGCAAAUUUUAGCUCCGCCUGUUUAUCAAAAACAUGGCUCUCUGAAUCUCUUGUAUAGAGAGUCGAACCUGCCCAGUGAAAUUUUAACGGCCGCGGUACUCUGACCGUGCAAAGGUAGCAUAAUCAUUUGCCUUAUAAUUGAAGGCUUGUAUGAAUGGUUUGACGGGAGCACUACUGUCUCUUUUUUACUAAGCAGAAUUUAACUUUUAGGUGAAGAGGCCUAAAUAUAAUUGAUAGACAAGAAGACCCUGUCGAGCUUAAAAAAAGAAUUAGAACCAAACUAUAGUAUUUAAAUUAACUACUAAUUAACUUUUUUGGUUGGGGCGACCAAGGAACAAAUAAAGCUUCCUUUCUUUAAUUAACCAAUAAGUAAUGAUCCAGUAAACUGAUUAAAAGAAUUAGUUACCGCAGGGAUAACAGCAUAAUCUUUCCUAAGAGACCUAAUCGAAGGAGGGGGUUGUGACCUCGAUGUUGGACUAGAGUAUCCUAAAGAUGCAGAAAUCU